This 64-nucleotide transfer RNA is filed under the name Pituophis catenifer sayi. RNAcentral's name for it is "tRNA-Met". Lineage: Eukaryota; Metazoa; Chordata; Lepidosauria; Squamata; Colubridae. The record is from RNAcentral.
CAGUAAGGUCAGCUAACUAAGCUAUCGGGCCCAUACCCCGAAAAUGCCACACGGCCCUUACUAA